ACUGCGGAAGGAUCAUUACCGAGUGAGGGUUUCUCUGAAGCCCAACCUCCCACCCGUGUAUACCGUACCCUGUUGCUUCGGCGGGCCCGCCUCACGGCCGCCGGGGGACCUCGCGUCCCCGGGCCCGCGCCCGCCGAAGACCCCAACACGAACACUGUCUGAAAAGUGCAGUCUGAGUCGAUUGUUACCAAUCAGUCAAAACUUUCAACAAUGGAUCUCUUGGUUCCGGCAUCGAUGAAGAACGCAGCGAAAUGCGAUAACUAAUGUGAAUUGCAGAAUUCAGUGAAUCAUCGAGUCUUUGAACGCACAUUGCGCCCCCUGGUAUUCCGGGGGGCAUGCCUGUCCGAGCGUCAUUGCUGCCCUCAAGCACGGCUUGUGUGUUGGGCCCCGUCCCCGGUACCCCCGGGGACGGGCCCGAAAGGCAGCGGCGGCACCGCGUCCGGUCCUCGAGCGUAUGGGGCUUUGUCACCCGCUCUGCAGGCCCGGCCGGCGCCAGCCGACCAACCCAACCAUUUUU
RNAcentral lists this unclassified non-coding RNA (517 nucleotides) under Aspergillus pragensis. RNAcentral describes it as "sequence contains ITS1, 5.8S rRNA gene, ITS2". The stretch from base 200 to 353 matches the Rfam family "5.8S ribosomal RNA". Lineage: Eukaryota; Fungi; Ascomycota; Eurotiomycetes; Eurotiales; Aspergillaceae. The record is from RNAcentral.